CAAAGAAUGGGGCAAUGGGGGCGGAUCACACCAGUGACAUGAGAGUUGCUCUGGUAGCAGUGGAAAUGCUACUUGUAAAACCAUCCUUAGCUCCAGGAUCGUAGAGCUAUCACUGAGACAAUUGCGCAGUGAGUGACAAGAGAGAUAAGCGGAGAAUGUGAGCCAUCUAUGAGACAGCUAAACUGGGCUGACCAUGUGCAAAGGGAAAUAUUGCAGGAUCCUCAGGCAAUCACUCAAAGGACAACUUCAAUAAAAAACACCAGGUCAGCGGAUAAGACCAUGUCACUCACAGGUUUGUGACUUGAGGCCUGAGCACCAAUGAUCCACUCCACAUCAGUGGAGAAUGUUGGAAAGUAAGGACGCUGUGGACAUUUUCUGAAGUUGGAGAAAUGGAAUGGUGGAGAAGCCAGUAUUGGGGUACCAUGAGUGGAGCAGAGUUGACUACAAAUCUCAAUAAAGCUUUUCAACUGUAUACCUAACUGCAAAGUCAUUUACUCACAACAAGCAAAAAAAUAAAUAUAUACUUAUCUCCC
Molecule: long non-coding RNA, 533 nt
Filed under: Homo sapiens (human)
Lineage: Eukaryota; Metazoa; Chordata; Mammalia; Primates; Hominidae
Description: HSALNT0378125
Source: RNAcentral